This 209-nucleotide long non-coding RNA is filed under the name Elaeis guineensis (African oil palm). RNAcentral's name for it is "long non-coding RNA (EGUI_LNC053112)". The record is from RNAcentral. Lineage: Eukaryota; Viridiplantae; Streptophyta; Magnoliopsida; Arecales; Arecaceae.
ACUUCUAGUAUUUAAUUUAGCCUCAGAUUUUAUUUCAGUAGGCGAUGGACCUCCACUGUAAGUCUCAAUUAGGUCAAACCAUUAACAUAAACCUACUUAGUGAUUCUAGCCAAAGAAUGAUCAAGUCCGAGGAUGGCUCGGUCAACCCAACCAUUUAUCAGAUAGUUCAAUAGAGUCAUCAUAUGAUGAAUGAUAAUUUCAUCAUUUAG